GCAUCAGUGGUCUAACGGUUAUGAUGCGACCUUCCCAUCUGCUAACUGACUCAAUUGCGAGGUCGCGAACGGGGUUCGACUCCCCGCUGAUGCA
Molecule: non-coding RNA, 94 nt
Organism: Marasmius tenuissimus
Lineage: Eukaryota; Fungi; Basidiomycota; Agaricomycetes; Agaricales; Marasmiaceae
Source: the annotation of a GenBank genome assembly